GUGGGGAAUAUUGCACAAUGGGCGAAAGCCUGAUGCAGCAACGCCGCGUGAGGGACGACGGCCUUCGGGUUGUAAACCUCUUUUAGUAGGGAAGAAGCGAAAGUGACGGUACCUGCAGAAAAAGCACCGGCUAACUACGUGCCAGCAGCCGCGGUAAUACGUAGGGUGCAAGCGUUGUCCGGAAUUAUUGGGCGUAAAGAGCUCGUAGGCGGUUUGUCGCGUCUGCUGUGAAAUCCCGAGGCUCAACCUCGGGCCUGCAGUGGGUACGGGCAGACUAGAGUGCGGUAGGGGAGAUUGGAAUUCCUGGUGUAGCGGUGGAAUGCGCAGAUAUCAGGAGGAACACCGAUGGCGAAGGCAGAUCUCUGGGCCGCUACUGACGCUGAGGAGCGAAAGCAUGGGGAGCGAACAGGAUUAGAAACCCGUGUAGUCC
Molecule: ribosomal RNA, 430 nt
Filed under: uncultured bacterium
Lineage: Bacteria
Description: bacterial SSU rRNA
Rfam family: Bacterial small subunit ribosomal RNA
Source: RNAcentral